CAUGAGCCCCAUGUACAGCUCGAGCCCAAAGUGUGAGGCAAGACUUUGGAGGAGGGACGACCAGCAGCAGUUUCUGGGACCCCUGAUGCUCUUUAGGCCGAGGGGCCUGCACUGGAAUGGAGUCCACUGAAGGGGUGGUUGUUUUUCACCUCAGGGGAAUCAGAGUGUGCAAUCCUGGGAACCUCCAUAUGCCAUGGGAGCAGCCCUAGAAAAAAGGCAAAAAGACCAAAAAAAAAAAAAAAAAGAAAAGAAAAAGAAAAAAAAAAAAGCAAUGUCUUUGAGCCUUUCUGCAGACCUAAAACCCCCAACAAAAAGGAAGAACUACUUGAUGAAGCCUUCUUCAGUUCCUGGAAGGAGGAGGCCCACCAGAACCAGUCCUAAGGCCACUAAACACCAGCUUUGAGAAACAAUGCAAGCUUGCUUCUACCAUGAUCCUUAUCUUUGGCCCUAUUCUCCCCAAAUUAUAAAACCAUCUUCUAAUCCUUUCCUAGGAGGGGCACAGUCUUUAAGGCAUUAGCUUGGUUUGGCUCCCUUGCCUGGCAAAGCACUAAAGCUAUCUUUUUCUCCUUCAUCCAAAACUGUCUCCACAUUUCUAUUCAGCAACUCUGGACAGGGGCUGUUUCAGCAACAUCCAUGAGGAUUUGGCUUCUAUCCCUGGCCUCACUCGGUGUAUUAAGGAUCUGGUGUUGCUGCUAGGUGCAGCAUAGGUCUCAGAUGUGGCUCGGAUCUGGCGUUGCUGUGGCUGUGGUGUAGGCUGGCAUCUGGAGCUCCAAUUCAACCUGCAGCCUCGGAACUUCCAGAUGCCUCGGCUGCAGCCCCAAAGAAAAAAAAUAAAAACCUUGUAGGACAGUUUCUGUUAUUUGCAUUUUCUUUUCCAUGAGCAAGCUAAGUACCUGAAAAUUUGAGAAGUCAAGAAGAGAUUUCCACCCAGAGCCUGCCAGUUGGGUUUACUGAUGAAAGAACUUUUUCCUUAUAGAAGGUAAACAGUAAGUGGGCAUAUGUGAAACAAGUGUCCACUGAAAUAAAAACACACAACAUGAGAGCUUUGUUUAUUUUUUUUUAAUUUAUUUUUAUUUUAUUCUCUUUUUAGGGCUGCACCUGCAACCGGCAACACAGCUCACAAGUGAGGCAGAAUAAUCACUCAGGUAGUCAGUGUAGGAGCAUGGGCUUCAGUGCAUUCUUUGAUAUGGCUAUUGAUUAACAUUUGUGGCUUAAGGGCUCCAGAGAGUAACAUCCCCACAGGCCUUGUUUACUAUAGGGAGUGUACCUACACCCAGAUGGAUAUUAAUCCCUAACCCGCUGUGAUUCAAUCUCUGAGAGGAGAAGGGAAAUGAAACCAUGAGACUUAAGGGGCAUUUCCACCCUAAGACCCCUAUUGGACAAGGACUGAACUGGGCAAGGCCAAUAGGAAAAAAACCCACAUCUUUCUGGACCCCACGUUGGUAACCCCCAUCUUUAAGGUAUAAAAACCCCUAUAGGACAAUAGGAGCUGGGACUCUUCUUCCCCCUCCCAGCUGUCCUGGGAGCUGUUUGCUUUCCUGCAAUAAAGGCUUUGCUUGCUUGC
RNAcentral lists this long non-coding RNA (1564 nucleotides) under Sus scrofa (pig). RNAcentral describes it as "lncRNA (ENSSSCG00065042446.1)". The record is from RNAcentral. Lineage: Eukaryota; Metazoa; Chordata; Mammalia; Artiodactyla; Suidae.